UAUAAAAGAGCGAAUCCAUUCUAGCUUAGAGCUUAGUGCAUGGAUACCGCUCCCACUUGUGUGAGCUAAAGUUUCAAAAAUUGUGCCGACGCUGAUUGCCUAACUGUAACGUAUUUUCGUGGAGAGAGUGGAUUUUUGCAUUUGAAAAUGGAAUGACGAAGGCUUACUUCAGGGUGCGAGGCGCCCAAACUCAACACUUCUGUUUAUUGCCUUUAUUUAUUUAUUUAUCUAGUUUAAUUUUGUUUAGUAAAUUUGAAGCGUACAACAUUUUCAUAAAGCCUAAUCAGUCGAGACCAUCCAUGCACAAAACAAAAAUGAGUUAAAAACAUAUUAACGGUUAUUUUUUGUGGUUACAUAAACGUUGCCGACGCUCCAACAAAACUUUGUGCGCAUUGCUGAAAGAAUUCUCACUUCAGUUAAUAUAAUUUAACACAAUAAAAACAAAAACAAUUAUGGACAACUUUCGAGCGUGUGUAAAUUGGACUACCCUACUAGAUGGAAAUGUGAAUCACAAUAACUAAACUUAGUAGCACAUAAGUAUGUGAAGCGAGUGAAAUUAAACGCCAUUUCAUGUAUAUAUGUAUAACUAUCUAGUAAUUAACCAAAGCUUACUACUUGUUGCAAAAUUUUCAAAAUAUUACAAAAAUAUGCUAGAAAAGUGUUGAAGAAAUUUUCAUGCUUUCCUGAAGCCUAGAAUUGAAGAAUGUGAGAAUUAUAAUCAUACCUACAUACAUAGAUGUAUAUGAAAUAUGCUAUAAAUUAAUUGUCAUUAUCAAAAUAAAUUGUUGUGUGUGUAUUAAUUAAAGUUUAUUAUGCUCUACUCAGUCCUUAAGUCAUCAUCUAGUAUGAAUAUUCGAAGACCUCAAAACAUGUUGCUGUUGUUUGGGAUUACAAAACAAAAAAAACAUAAUGACUUAGAAAGAGCAUGACAUUUUGAAUUUUGGUUGCGAAAUACAAUAAAUUUGGCACUAAAUCUCAAAAUUAAAAAUACAAAAUUAUACGAUAUUAAUUGACUAUAUAAUCAUAUGUAAAUGCACCAAUACGGCGAUACAAGAAAUACAUAUAUACAUAUAUAUACUAUGUUUACUAAGCGAUUUCAGGAGAAAUGAGCACUUAUGUAACACAUUAUACCAAGCAUUAUAAAUAUAAAUAAAAAUAUGUAAAUGUGCAAAUUUAA
Bactrocera neohumeralis is the source of this 1177-nucleotide long non-coding RNA. RefSeq lists it as uncharacterized. The record is from RefSeq and is a predicted model, not a curated record. NCBI's taxonomy places the organism in Eukaryota, Metazoa, Arthropoda, Insecta, Diptera, Tephritidae. The transcript is spliced from 2 exons.